GUUUGAUCCUGGCUCAGGAUGAACGCUAGCGGCGCGCUUAACACAUGCAAGUCGUGCGCGAAAGGCGGAUCACCUUCGGGUGUGAAGCCGAGUAGAGCGGCGAACGGGUGAGUAACACGUAACUAACCUGCCCUUCCGACGGGAAUAACCCCGGGAAACCGGGGCUAAUGCCCGAUACGCUGCCGGGCUCACAAGAGCCCGGAAGGAAAGGCGCUUCGGCGUCGCGGAAGGAGGGGGUUGCGGCCUAUCAGCUGGUUGGUGGGGUAAUGGCCCACCAAGGCCAAGACGGGUAGCUGGUCUUAGCGGACGAUCAGCCACACGGGGACUGAGACACGGCCCCGACCCCUACGGGAGGCAGCAGUGGGGAAUCUUCCGCAAUGGGCGCAAGCCUGACGGAGCGACGCCGCGUGGAGGACGAAGCCCUUCGGGGUGUAAACUCCUUUUCUGAGGGAAGAAUAAGGUCAGCAGGAAAUGGCUGACCGAUGACGGUACCUCAGGAAUAAGGGACGGCUAACUCUGUGCCAGCAGCCGCGGUAAGACAGAGGUCCCGAGCGUUAUCCGGAAUCACUGGGCGUAAAGGGCGUCUAGGCGGCUCCGUGUGUCGUCCGUGAAACCUCCCGGCUCAACCGGGAGCGGUCGGGCGAAACUGCGGAGCUUGAGGGCUGGAGGGGGAAGCGGAACUGUCGGAGUAGCGGUGAAAUGCGCAGAUACCGACAGGUACCUCGAUGGCGAAGGCAGCUUCCUGGCCAGACCCUGACGCUGAAGCGCGAAAGCAUGGGGAGCGAACCGGAUUAGAUACCCGGGUAGUCCAUGCCGCAAACGAUGUCGGCUAGGUGUUGGCCCCUUUAUUGAGGGUCAGUGCCGCAGCUAACGCGUUAAGCCGACCGCCUGAGGAUUACGGCCGCAAGGCUAAAACUCAAGGGAAUUGACGGGGGCCCGCACAAGCGGUGGAGCACGUGGUUUAAUUCGAUGAUAAGCGAAGCACCUUACCCGGGCUUGACAUGCACGUGGUACUGAACCGAAAGGGGAUGGACCGCUUCCUUCGGGAAGCGGAGCGUGCACAGGUGCUGCAUGGCUGUCGUCAGCUCAUGCCGUGGGGCGUCGGGUUAAGUCUCGCAACGAGCGCAACCCCUGCUCUUAGUUGCCAUCACUUCGGGUGGGCACUCUAAGGGGACUGCCGGCGAAUAGCCGGAGGAAGGAGGGGACGACGUCAAGUCAGUAUGGCCCUUAUGCCCGGGGCGACACACGUGCUACAAUGGCCGGUACAAAGGGACGCCAACCCGCAAGGGGGAGCCAAUCUCACAAAACCGGCCCCAGUUCGGAUUGGGGUCUGCAACUCGACCCCAUGAAGGCGGAAUCGCUAGUAAUCGCAGGUCAGCCAUACUGCGGUGAACGUGUACUCGGGCCUUGUACACACCGCCCGUCACACCAGCCGAGUGGGGGGCACCCGAAGACCCUGUGCAAGGGUUGAAGGUGCCCUCCGCGAGGGGGGUGAAGUCGUAACAAGGUAGCCG
This 1514-nucleotide ribosomal RNA is filed under the name uncultured bacterium. Its description in RNAcentral is "bacterial SSU rRNA". It matches the Rfam family "Bacterial small subunit ribosomal RNA". The record is from RNAcentral.